UAAGACGGAGGGUGCUAGCGUUGUUCGGAAUUACUGGGCGUAAAGGGCGCGUAGGCGGCCUGUUAAGUCGGUUGUGAAAGCCCGGGGCUCAACCCCGGAACGGCAGCCGAGACUGGCGGGCUGGAGACCGGGAGAGGUGGGUGGAAUACCCAGUGUAGAGGUGAAAUUCGUAGAUAUUGGGUGGAACACCGGUGGCGAAAGCGGCUCACUGGCCCGGUUCUGACGCUGAGGCGCGAAAGCGUGGGGAGCGAACA
Molecule: ribosomal RNA, 254 nt
Filed under: uncultured prokaryote
Description: partial 16S ribosomal RNA
Rfam family: Bacterial small subunit ribosomal RNA
Source: RNAcentral